UAACUUUAAAUUAGGGCAGAAUCACCCUAUAUUGAAAGGGCUGGGUAACCAGCUAUGGCGAUAAACGGCCAGUGCAAUAAGCGAUGCGGACCCGGGGGCGGUACCCGGCGCCUCCACCAAUUUUAAAUCCCGGUCAGUCGAGAUUUUCAUUGGGGGCGAAAUAGGAUCGACGCGCGUCUAAAGACUGGUUUUUUGCUCGGCAUGGUACCGCCGUUAUCGGGCCGAAUUACAAGUGCCAAUGAUAAUGACUUGGCCCUCGCUGCCUAACAUUAGGUAAGCGCGGCCCGGGGGGCGCCGGGCAACAGAAGCCCCCCACC
This 317-nucleotide transfer-messenger RNA is filed under the name Rhodospirillaceae bacterium. It matches the Rfam family "Alphaproteobacteria transfer-messenger RNA". Rfam says of the family: Bacterial tmRNA, also known as 10Sa RNA or SsrA, is named for its dual tRNA and mRNA-like properties. The record is from RNAcentral. Lineage: Bacteria; Pseudomonadati; Pseudomonadota; Alphaproteobacteria; Rhodospirillales; Rhodospirillaceae.